GAAAUGCGAUAAGUAAUGUGAAUUGCAGAUACCGUGAAUCAUCAAAUCUUUGAACGCACAUUGCACUGCCUGGAACUCCGGGCAGUAUACCUGUUUGAGCAUCAGUAGAACUCUCCAGUUCCGUAUUGAAUGGGUUGGAGGAGCUGAGCGAACAUGCAGAGAUGCGUGUCGCUUUAAAUGCACUAAGCGCAAGUGCGACAGUGUUAAACAAUCUGCGCGCCUUGCGCACACGACAAUCAGAUCUCAAAUCAGGUAUGAGCACCCGCUGAACUUAA
Molecule: unclassified non-coding RNA, 275 nt
Filed under: uncultured fungus
Lineage: Eukaryota; Fungi
Description: sequence contains ITS1
Rfam family: 5.8S ribosomal RNA (bases 1-104)
Source: RNAcentral